This 85-nucleotide transfer RNA is filed under the name Candidatus Vogelbacteria bacterium CG10_big_fil_rev_8_21_14_0_10_45_14. RNAcentral's name for it is "tRNA-Leu". It matches the Rfam family "tRNA". Rfam says of the family: Transfer RNA (tRNA) molecules are approximately 80 nucleotides in length. Their secondary structure includes four short double-helical elements and three loops (D, anti-codon, and T loops). Further hydrogen bonds mediate the characteristic L-shaped molecular structure. tRNAs have two regions of fundamental functional importance: the anti-codon, which is responsible for specific mRNA codon recognition, and the 3' end, to which the tRNAs corresponding amino acid is attached (by aminoacyl-tRNA synthetases). tRNAs cope with the degeneracy of the genetic code in two manners: having more than one tRNA (with a specific anti-codon) for a particular amino acid; and 'wobble' base-pairing, i.e. permitting non-standard base-pairing at the 3rd anti-codon position. The record is from RNAcentral. Lineage: Bacteria; Candidatus Vogeliibacteriota.
GGGCGAGUGGCGGAAUUGGUAUACGCGCACGACUCAAAAUCGUGUCUCGCAAGGGAUGAGGGUUCAAGUCCCUCCUCGCCCACAA